CUCGUAGGCGGUUUGUCGCGUCGGGAGUGAAAACACCGGGCUUAACUCGGUGCUUGCUUUCGAUACGGGCAGACUAGAGGCAUUCAGGGGAGAACGGAAUUCCUGGUGUAGCGGUGAAAUGCGCAGAUAUCAGGAGGAACACCGGUGGCGAAGGCGGUUCUCUGGGAAUGUCCUGACGCUGAGGAGCGAAAGUGUGGGGAGCGAACA
RNAcentral lists this ribosomal RNA (207 nucleotides) under uncultured bacterium. RNAcentral describes it as "partial 16S ribosomal RNA". It matches the Rfam family "Bacterial small subunit ribosomal RNA", at positions 568 to 774 of the family's 1533-position model. The record is from RNAcentral.